GAAAAUUUCCAAAUUCUAGAACAUGACUCCAUUUUUGUUUGAAGGAUGAUCCAGAUUCUGGCUGGGCUAUCCAGAACCUUGCCCUAGGAACUUGAAAAUAAGAUGGAAAAAUGAGAGAUUCAGUUGAAAGACUGUACCAAUAAAAAUCUAAGCUAUUGACAAUAAUUUUUUUCUGCUGUGUGCUGAGACAAGUGAAAGAAACCAGGUUGUGAUGAGGAAAAGCAAUGAAUCAAAGUCAAAGACAGAAGCAGAGAUUUAAAGAUGGAGGAAAAAAAAAGAGUCCUAGGUAUCCCAUAGUCCUCCAGUAUUUGGUUGUCUGGAAAGUCUUGCAAACUUACUUAUUAGUAUCCAUUCUCCAUUUCUCAUACUGAUGUUAUUUUAGGCCCACCCAUCCCUGGAGGGGGUCACAGAUUAGGCUAAGACAAUAUGUGUAUGGCAAUCCUUGGCAACUAUUGACCCAAUGAUGGGCACAUUUCCUAAAUUGGCCCAAUUUGAUUGAAGGUUUAUAUUCCUUGCCUAGAGGAGAAAUCACUCUUUCUUCUGCUAGACAUGAACAAGGAAGCACAUAUCCCUGAUAGCCAUGAUCAGCUUUCCUGCCACCGGGAGAGUGUAUUUUGGGAAGAGGACAACAACUGAAAAUCACAGCAAGAAUUCUGAAAACCCUUGGGAAAUAGUGGGGAACAAUGUUGACCAAAUUAUAUUGUUUGUUGUGUGCAUAUGUGAAUAUGUUAUGACGAAUCCCACCAUUAUGUAUAAUUACAAUGCACCAAUAAAAAUAUGAAAAAAAAUUCUAAAAAGCCUGGUUCUUUAAUGGCAUUUUUCAGUUCACCUUGACACUGAGUCAAACUAUGAGAUAAUACAUGACCUAUUAGAGAAGUCAGGGUCACUAAAACUUUUUCUUAAAGUGCACUGAUGGUGACUAUUUUAAGACUUCAGGCUCUACCCAACUAGUCAAAUCGGGUACUAUAGCUCUAAAGCGCCCUAGACAAUAUGUAUAUGAAUGCAUGUGAAUGUGUUCCAGUAAGACAGGUGGCCAACCUACAGGCUGUCAUUUGCCAAUCCCUGUGAUAAGCCAGUUUGAAUCAGAAUUUUCUGUUACUUGUUGCCAAAACUAAUGAUGUACAGGCUCUUGUCCAUUUGGGGGGCAUAGCUGCAUCUUGCCCUUGGAGUCUAUGAGGAACUCUAGUGUCCAGGGCUGAUGGCUGAAAUGCUUAAUAAAGGGUGCAGCAUAAACCCCCAACCAACCAAAAACAUGUAGGAUAACCAUGUGGAGGUGAGUUGGCUGAAUAUCACUCUGCUGUUAUCCCUCCAAGGAGUACUCUUUGUCACUUAAACUUUCGAAGGUUAUUUCUGUUAUUGGUAAACAAAACCAUCCUCGCCAUUCUUUUUAGAUUUUCUUUGAGGGGCACUCUUAAU
This 1416-nucleotide long non-coding RNA is filed under the name Marmota monax (woodchuck). Lineage: Eukaryota; Metazoa; Chordata; Mammalia; Rodentia; Sciuridae. The record is from RNAcentral.